GUAAUACGUAGGUGGCAAGCGUGUCCGGAUUUAUGGGCGUAAAGCGAGCGCAGGCGGUUUUUUAGGUCUGAUGUGAAAGCCUUCGGCUUAACCGGAGAAGUGCAUCGGAAACCGGGAGACUUGAGUGCAGAAGAGGACAGUGGAACUCCAUGUGUAGCGGUGAAAUGCGUAGAUAUAUGGAAGAACACCAGUGGCGAAGGCGGCUGUCUGGUCUGUAACUGACGCUGAGGCUCGAAAGCAUGGGUAGCGAACAGGAUUAGAUACCCUGGUAGUCCAUGCCGUAAACGAUGAGUGCUAAGUGUUGGAGGGUUUCCGCCCUUCAGUGCUGCAGCUAACGCAUUAAGCACUCCGCCUGGGGAGUACGACCGCAAGGUUGAAACUCAAAGGAAUUGACGGGGGCCCGCACAAGCGGUGGAGCAUGUGGUUUAAUUCGAUGCUACGCGAAGAACCUUACCAGGUCUUGACAUCUUCUGCCAACUUAAGAGAUUAGGCGUUCCCUUCGGGGACAGAAUGACAGGUGGUGCAUGGUUGUCGUCAGCUCGUGUCGUGAGAUGUUGGGUUAAGUCCCGCAACGAGCGCAACCCUUAUUGUUAGUUGCCAGCAUUCAGUUGGGCACUCUAGCAAGACUGCCGGUGACAAACCGGAGGAAGGUGGGGAUGACGUCAAAUCAUCAUGCCCCUUAUGACCUGGGCUACACACGUGCUACAAUGGACGGUACAACGAGUCGCGAAACCGCGAGGUCAAGCUAAUCUCUUAAAGCCGUUCUCAGUUCGGAUUGUAGGCUGCAACUCGCCUACAUGAAGUUGGAAUCGCUAGUAAUCGUGGAUCAGCAUGCCACGGUGAAUACGUUCCCGGGCCUUGUACACACCGCCCGUCACACCAUGAGAGUUUGUAACACCCAAAGCCGGUGAGGUAACCUUCGGGGACCAGCCGUCUAAGGUGGGGCAGAUGAUUAGGGUGAAGUCGUAACAAGGUAGCCGUAGGAGAACCUGCGGCUGGAUCACCUCCUUUCUAA
This 1015-nucleotide ribosomal RNA is filed under the name uncultured bacterium. RNAcentral describes it as "bacterial SSU rRNA". It matches the Rfam family "Bacterial small subunit ribosomal RNA", at positions 520 to 1533 of the family's 1533-position model. The record is from RNAcentral.